Molecule: ribosomal RNA, 383 nt
Filed under: uncultured bacterium
Lineage: Bacteria
Description: bacterial SSU rRNA
Rfam family: Bacterial small subunit ribosomal RNA
Source: RNAcentral
AGUGAACGCUGGCGGUAGGCCUAACACAUGCAAGUCGAACGGCAGCACAGUAAGAGCUUGCUCUUACGGGUGGCGAGUGGCGGACGGGUGAGGAAUGCAUCGGAAUCUACUCUGUCGUGGGGGAUAACGUAGGGAAACUUACGCUAAUACCGCAUACGACCUACGGGUGAAAGCAGGGGAUCUUCGGACCUUGCGCGAUUGAAUGAGCCGAUGCCCGAUUAGCUAGUUGGCGGGGUAAGAGCCCACCAAGGCGACGAUCGGUAGCUGGUCUGAGAGGAUGAUCAGCCACACUGGAACUGAGACACGGUCCAGACUCCUACGGGAGGCAGCAGUGAGGAAUAUUGGUCAAUGGACGCAAGUCUGAACCAGCCACGUCGCGUGAA